GGGGUUGUGGCUCAGUGGUAGAGCGCUUGCCUAGAACACACGAGGCCCUGGGUUCUAUCCCUAGCACCA
RNAcentral lists this transfer RNA (69 nucleotides) under Ictidomys tridecemlineatus (thirteen-lined ground squirrel). Its description in RNAcentral is "Spermophilus tridecemlineatus (thirteen-lined ground squirrel) tRNA". It matches the Rfam family "tRNA". From Rfam's summary of the family: Transfer RNA (tRNA) molecules are approximately 80 nucleotides in length. Their secondary structure includes four short double-helical elements and three loops (D, anti-codon, and T loops). The record is from Rfam by way of RNAcentral. Lineage: Eukaryota; Metazoa; Chordata; Mammalia; Rodentia; Sciuridae.